GGGCGGUUAGCUCAGCUGGUUAGAGCGCCUGCUCGACACGCAGGAGGUCGUUGGUUCAAAUCCAAUACCGCCCA
RNAcentral lists this transfer RNA (74 nucleotides) under Coxiella sp. DG_40. RNAcentral describes it as "tRNA-Val". It matches the Rfam family "tRNA". From Rfam's summary of the family: Transfer RNA (tRNA) molecules are approximately 80 nucleotides in length. Their secondary structure includes four short double-helical elements and three loops (D, anti-codon, and T loops). Lineage: Bacteria; Pseudomonadati; Pseudomonadota; Gammaproteobacteria; Legionellales; Coxiellaceae. The record is from RNAcentral.